Molecule: ribosomal RNA, 242 nt
Filed under: uncultured bacterium
Lineage: Bacteria
Description: partial 16S ribosomal RNA
Rfam family: Bacterial small subunit ribosomal RNA
Source: RNAcentral
UGAGAGUGGCGAACGGGUGAGUAAUGCGUGACUAACCUGCCUUGUACUUUGGAAUAGCUCCUGGAAACGGGUGGUAAUGCCGAAUAUUCCGCACUAUCGCAUGGUGGUGUGGGAAAGGGUUUCUGGUAUGAGAUGGGGUCGCGUCCUAUCAGCUUGUUGGUGGGGUGAUGGCCUACCAAGGCUUCGACGGGUAGCCGGCCUGAGAGGGUGACCGGCCACAUUGGGACUGAGAUACGGCCCAG